AGAAAACGUACCCGAGUACCCCCGACCCAAGUUUCACGUGUCUCACCUGAAACAUGACACAGAGCGAGGGGCUUUAUGUUGGAUCAGGACAGACGGUGGCUUCAAGGAUCCUCACAGAGGCUUCGGGGAUCCACACAAAUGGUCACUGGUGUGGUGGAGUCUGGCUGUGAGACCCGAGGAGAUCCAGGCAGCCGAGACGAUGCUGCUGAAGAAGACCUACCCAAACCAGACGAAAGAGCAGGCUGCGAAGCAGCAGAGAUUCCUGUGGAGGUUCGCCACCUCUCCAGCCUUCAGUGAGAAGUCCAGGUAUGGCUCAUACCGCUUCACCUUCCCCCUGCAGGACGUGCUGACCGCCUACAGCAAGCAGUUUUGCUUUGGAGCUACGCCCAUCAUGAGAGUGUUCAGGACUUGCCUGUUCAAACAGGAAGUGCAGUACUCUGUGUUGGUCCACAGCCCAGCCAAUCGGGAGCUCUUCUCAGAGUUUCCAUUACUUCCUGGUAAUGACCCAAACACUGUCUGCGCCUACAGAGAUGGACGCUUAAUCUGGAGGUCAGAGGCCAUGUGUGAAACACACAGGUACAAGCUGAUCCACAGACCUGAUACAAGCCAGAUGCACACUCUGAAGUUGUUUAGACAGCCUCAGUUUUAUCUUUGGGAUAAUGUUGCCAUCGCCCUGCAUGUGGAGAACGGACAGGUACUAAAGUUUGAUUCUGACCAACUGAGAGAGAACCUGAAGUUCUGUGAGCCAGACAGACCUACAAUCACACCCAACUUCUAUUUUGAUCAUUUUGAAAAUGCUAAAAUCUUGGUUAACCAAUUGUGGCCUGACUCAGACACC
This is a long non-coding RNA of Oreochromis aureus, 838 nucleotides long. The record is from Ensembl. NCBI's taxonomy places the organism in Eukaryota, Metazoa, Chordata, Actinopteri, Cichliformes, Cichlidae.